Long non-coding RNA from Planococcus citri (citrus mealybug), 1946 nucleotides. RefSeq lists it as uncharacterized. Lineage: Eukaryota; Metazoa; Arthropoda; Insecta; Hemiptera; Pseudococcidae. The record is from RefSeq and is a predicted model, not a curated record. The transcript is spliced from 3 exons.
CAUCGGAAAAUAAUCGAGAAUUUUCAACUUUAAUGGGAAUUAGGUAGAUAGGUACUUCACGUUGACUAUACGAUCAAACGAACAUUACGUAAUUUAGGUCUGCUAAAUUCUAAAGAUGAAAAGACGCACAGUGACUUUUCUAUUCUUUAAUAUAAUUGCACCAGAUUUUCAGCAUACGGUGCCCCAAAAUAGCUAUACUAGGUACUGGUGUAAAUGCUGAACUCCGAGCAUUACUGGAUUUAGGAAUCACACACUCAACUGUGGACUGGGAAAGCGCUUUUAAGCACCUCGCAGAAAGAUAUAAUCAGAGAGGGGUGGCAUUGCAACAGCUCAAUGUUCUAAAUUUCAUAGGCACUCAUAUGCAAAAAUUAUUAUGGGAAUUAAAUCUAUUUCGUUGCACACAACAAAAUGUUGUCAAACCCAUGAUAACACUGAAGGAGGAAGAUAUAUCUUAUGAGGAAAUACCCAUCUAUUUUCCUGGGACGGUUGAUGAAUUUGAUUAUUUUAAACUAGGUUAUAUUGACUGGUAUCGCAUUAUUAUGAAUUCCAAGGAUCGUCGGAUUGUGAAUUUUAUUGUGGCCAUUAAAAAUAAUUUGCGUGAUGGUGAAACACCCUUAAAGGAACGAGACAUAAGUAAACAUUUGGCAUUAAUCUGGUGUACUGUUAGGAAGGACACACGCCGCCCAGUUCUGGAUUCAGUAAAAGCCCAGAUAAUUUUGAAUAAUGCAGAUGAAGUGGCGGAUGCCUUCAGUGCAUUUAUACAAGAUGACUUUUACGUGAAUUUUGUUCGUAUCUUUUUUGAAGAGACGAAGUUCAGGAUUCAUUCUACUUGAUUACCCAUAUAUGUACUCCUUUAUAUUACCUAUUAUUAAUUAUGAGCACUUUAAUUAGCUUCAUAAUUUGUUCUGCAGAAACUUCACGAGUUCUAUAAAUUGAAGUUUUUUUUUCACUUUGCUCAGAAAAAAUACAUUUCAUGAGAAAGUUGAAAAAUCACCUUUAAAACAGCUUUUUUGAGUUUUUUCAAAUAUUGAAAAAUUCGCCAGAGGUCCGAAAUGUUCUUUCAAUUUCGUUCAAAUCGAAAACGACGAGUUCGAAAAGUGAAUACUUUUAUACGCUCGUUUUCGGGUAUCUAGAUCUACUCGAUUUACUGAGUAUUAUAGGUAGGUAUAGUACCUACUACAUGCAUAUCUAGGAAUCAACAAGCAGCAGCGAAAUUGGCUUUCGUUGUAAUUCAAAAGAAUUCGAAAUCCGUUCAGUGUUAAUGGGUGGCCGAAAGGCGAUAAUGUUUGUACAAUGUAGGUCUGCGCUCCAUUGCUGAGCUGCGGACUUGAUAAUCAAAAGAAUACAGAUCAUCUCUGGUUUAUGUGCAUUCUGAUGAAUAAAUUUAUGGAGUUAUAUGGUAUAAAGACUAGUUUCAAACAUACUGGUUAGUAAAGAACGACGCUAUUUUUUUUCUCUCUACUUAAUUAUACGUAACGCGAGUUCUCUAUAAGAGUAAUGCUUUAUUAGACUUGAGAUAGAUUUUAGACUACAUGCAAACUUCUAAUUAUUGAUGUUUAAAAAUGUUAAGUCGGGAUAUAGUUUCGGUAAAAUUAAUAGAUUAUUCCGAUACUUAUCUCAAAACAUCAUUAUAAUAUGAUUAUAAUGAUUAUAAUUUUGUUUAUAUAUGUAAUCUGGUUCAAAAAUUCGUCCAUAUAGUGAAGCCUUCUGACUGCCUUGCUGCCUUUUAUUUUCGUGUUUACAAAUGUAUGUUUUUAGGGUACUAUGUGCGUAUUUGUGCCCUGAAUUUCAAAAGGAGAGGUUUAACUUUUUAUUAAAGUUUUUUCGGUUGAGCUGUACAUUGUGGAAAUAUUCCAUUUGGAUGGUGAAUACUAUGUAUUAUAGGUACAGGUACCACCUACUAACCUACCCGGCUAUUAACUGUGCGAGGAUCGCCAUCAAUUUCA